UCCAGACUCCUACGGGAGGCAGCAGUGAGGAAUAUUGGUCAAUGGGCGAGAGCCUGAACCAGCCAAGUCGCGUGAGGGAGUACUGCCCUAUGGGUUGUAAACCUCUUUUGUCGGGGAGCAAAAGCCGGACGUGUCCGGCUGUGAGAGUACCCGAAGAAAAAGCAUCGGCUAACUCCGUGCCAGCAGCCGCGGUAAUACGGAGGAUGCGAGCGUUAUCCGGAUUUAUUGGGUUUAAAGGGUGCGUAGGCGGAAGGUUAAGUCAGCGGUAAAAUGUCGGUGCUCAACACCGGCCUGCCGUUGAAACUGGUCUUCUUGAGUGAGCGAGAAGUAUGCGGAAUGCGUGGUGUAGCGGUGAAAUGCAUAGAUAUCACGCAGAACUCCGAUUGCGAAGGCAGCAUACCGGCGCCCAACUGACGCUGAAGCACGAAAGCGUGGGUAUCGAACAGGAUUAGAUACCCUGGUAA
Molecule: ribosomal RNA, 464 nt
Filed under: uncultured bacterium
Lineage: Bacteria
Description: bacterial SSU rRNA
Rfam family: Bacterial small subunit ribosomal RNA
Source: RNAcentral